RNAcentral lists this ribosomal RNA (433 nucleotides) under uncultured bacterium. RNAcentral describes it as "partial 16S ribosomal RNA". It matches the Rfam family "Bacterial small subunit ribosomal RNA", at positions 29 to 507 of the family's 1533-position model. The record is from RNAcentral.
AACGAACGCUGGCGGCAUGCCUAACACAUGCAAGUCGAACGAGACCUUCGGGUCUAGUGGCGCACGGGUGCAUAACGCGUGGGAACCUGCCCUUAGGUUCGGAAUAACUCCCCGAAAGGGGUGCUAAUACCGGAUAAUGUCUUCGGACCAAAGAUUUAUCGCCUUUGGAUGGGCCCGCGUUGGAUUAGCUAGUUGGUAGGGUAAAAGCCUACCAAGGCGACGAUCCAUAGCUGGUCAGAGAGGAUGAUCAGCCACACUGGGACUGAGACACGGCCCAGACUCCUACGGGAGGCAGCAGUGGGGGAUAUUGGACAAUGGGCGAAAGCCUGAUCCAGCAAUGCCGCGUGAGUGAUGAAGGCCUUAGGGUUGUAAAGCUCUUUUACCCGGGAUGAUAAUGACAGUACCGGGAGAAUAAGCUCCGGCUAACUCCGUG